UACGGAGGGUGCGAGCGUUGUCCGGAAUCAUUGGGCGUAAAGGGCGCGUAGGUGGCCCGGUCAGCGUGCGGUGAAAGCUCGGGGCUCAACCCCGAGUCGGCCGUGCGAACUGCUGGGCUGGAGCACUGUAGAGGCAGGCGGAAUUCCGGGUGUAGCGGUGGAAUGCGUAGAGAUCCGGAGGAACACCGGUGGCGAAGGCGGCCUGCUGGGCAGUGGCUGACACUGAGGCGCGACAGCGUGGGGAGCAAACAGG
Molecule: ribosomal RNA, 253 nt
Filed under: uncultured bacterium
Lineage: Bacteria
Description: partial 16S ribosomal RNA
Rfam family: Bacterial small subunit ribosomal RNA
Source: RNAcentral